RNAcentral lists this unclassified non-coding RNA (332 nucleotides) under fungal sp. RNAcentral describes it as "partial internal transcribed spacer region". The stretch from base 1 to 46 matches the Rfam family "Eukaryotic small subunit ribosomal RNA", at positions 1786 to 1831 of the family's 1831-position model. Lineage: Eukaryota; Fungi. The record is from RNAcentral.
AAGUCGUAACAAGGUAACCGUAGGUGAACCUGCGGUUGGAUCAUUAUCACGUUAUCCACGUUAUCAACCAACGCGAACCCCAACGGCUUAUUUUCCAGGAAGCAAUUCCAAAAAAAUUCGCCUUUCUUCAGAAGUAAAUGAGAAAAGAAUUUCGAUUUAUUUCGAUUUUUUUUAAUCGUUUAUUUCUGAGGAUAAAACUCUUGAUUAACUAUCAACACCCCUUUUAUACUUUAUGUACUGAACUGUUUCUUCCUCUCUCGUGUAACAGCGAUGGAGAAGAAAACAAAAUACGAAACAAAGAACAACUCUUAGCAACGGAUAUCUUGGUUCUC